GUGACGGUACCUACAAAAGAAGCACCGGCUAACUAUGUGCCAGCAGCCGCGGUAAUACAUAGGGUGCAAGCGUUGUCCGGAAUUAUUGGGCGUAAAGAGCUCGUAGGUCGUUUGUUACGUCGGAUGUGAAAACCUGAGGCUCAACCUCAGGCCUGCAUUCGAUACGGGCAAACUAGAGUUUGGUAGGGGAGACUGGAAUUCCUGGUGUAGCGGUGGAAUGCGCAGAUAUCAGGAGGAACACCAAUGGCGAAGGCAGGUCUCUGGGCCAAUACUGACACUGAGGAGCGAAAGUCUGGGGAGCGAACAGGAUUAGAUACCCUGGUAGUCCAGACCGUAAACGGUGGGCACUAGUUGUGGGAACCUUCCACGGUUUCUGCGACGCAGCUAACGCAUUAAGUGCCCCGCCUGGGGAGUACGAUCGCAAGAUUAAAACUCAAANGAAUUGAC
This 447-nucleotide ribosomal RNA is filed under the name uncultured bacterium. Its description in RNAcentral is "bacterial SSU rRNA". It matches the Rfam family "Bacterial small subunit ribosomal RNA", at positions 469 to 914 of the family's 1533-position model. The record is from RNAcentral.